Molecule: ribosomal RNA, 895 nt
Filed under: Cantharellus cibarius (golden chanterelle)
Lineage: Eukaryota; Fungi; Basidiomycota; Agaricomycetes; Cantharellales; Hydnaceae
Description: partial large subunit ribosomal RNA
Rfam family: Eukaryotic large subunit ribosomal RNA
Source: RNAcentral
CUUAAGCAUAUCACUAAGCGGAGGAAAAGAAACUAACUAGGAUUCCCCCAGUAACUGCGAGUGAAGAGGGAAGAGCUCAUCAUUGGAAUCUGGCAGUGUUUCACUGUCCGAGUUGUAGAUGAGGAGUAGUCCGUCUGGACUGCAUGGCGUCCAAGUACAAUAGGCCGUCAGUGGGACAUCAUAGAGGGUGACAAUCCCGUCCUUGACGCCAAUGUGCAAGUCUAUUACGAUGGCUAUCUCAGAGAGUCGAGCAGUUUGGGAUUUGCUGCUUAAACAUGGGAGGUAGAUUCCUUCUAAAGCUAAAUACAGGCGAGAGACCGAUAGAGAACAAGUACCGCAAGGGAAAGAUGAAAUAGCACUCUGUGAAGGGAGUCAAAAGGCGUGAAAUUGUUGCGAGAGAAGCGAUUCAAGUCAGCGUAGCUAGGCCCAUCAAGCGUCUUCGCUUUGGACUAGCUUUGCCAGCGGUCUUGUCCCUUAAAGAGACUUGACUUGUAAUAUGUCCAGCCUGGCGUGCACAGGCAGCCCCUUCUGGGGGCCAGUGACAUGGCUGGUGGAAUGGCUUGCAAUCGACCCGUCUUGAAACACGGACCAAGGAGUCUAACAUGUAUGCGAGUAUAAGGGUGGCAAACCCGUAUGCGCAAUGAAAGUGAUUUUCGGUGAUUGAGAAUGGCCUGAUGACCAGACAAGCAAUAUAUGUCCCUCGUACGGCCAUUGCCCAAGUUCCGUGGUAGAUCCCACGAACAUGGAGUUGGAGCAUACAUGCUAGGACCCGAAAGAUGGUGAACUAUGCCUGGACAAAGCGAAGCCAAAGGAAACUCUGGUGGAGGCUUGUAGCGAUUCUGACGUGCAAAUCGAUCGUCUGAUCUGGGUAUAGGGGCGAAAGACUAAUCGAACC